GGGGUCGACUGGUUUUGACAGCGAGUUGUAUUAAAUUGUAAGCACGUCGCGUAACGACAUUGAAACGCGUAAAAGGCUAUGUUAAAUUUUAAACGGCGAGAAUAACUACGCUUUAGCUGCAUAAUCUGAAUUAUAGUAAGAUUAGCCUUGUCCUACUAGGUAGGAAAGCUAAAUGUCUCUUGAAAGCCUUGGUUAACGGCGUUCUACUUUGAGGCAUCGUAAAAGUAAACCUAGAAAAUGUAAUGCUUUGGUACAUUUUUGAAACUAAAAAAGCUAAGUAAUACGUAGAGUGUUUUUAAUCAGCGUAUUAUCUAAAACCAUGAAAAAACUAAGCGUGUAGAAAGCACUUUGGUAGCUUGUUUGGACCCGAGUUCGAUUCUCGGCGACUCCACCU
RNAcentral lists this transfer-messenger RNA (394 nucleotides) under Flavobacteriaceae. RNAcentral describes it as "JAADHG01 sp013151975 Standard tmRNA". It matches the Rfam family "transfer-messenger RNA". Rfam says of the family: Bacterial tmRNA, also known as 10Sa RNA or SsrA, is named for its dual tRNA and mRNA-like properties. Its role is to liberate the mRNA from a stalled ribosome. To accomplish this part of the tmRNA is used as a reading frame that ends in a translation stop signal. RNAcentral also lists the same sequence under 1 other name. Lineage: Bacteria; Pseudomonadati; Bacteroidota; Flavobacteriia; Flavobacteriales. The record is from RNAcentral.